UUUCAAAUAAUUUAAUUUGCAGCUUAAUUAGAAAAUAUUGCAUUUCUUAUAUUCUUGCUAUAAUUAUGAAGAAUUAUAUCCUUAUUUAAUUUAUUUUUUAUAUAUUUUAUACAAUUUACAUGAAACUGAUAAAGUUGUCAGAAAUUUUUAUUACAAUUAUAAUUAUUUUUUUUCAGUUGGGAAAGUAAUGGUUUCAAUUGCUGUUUAAUUAGCCUCAAAUCUUCGCUUGGUGAUAAGCCCUAAUAAUCUACAAAUUUGUUAUUAGAAUUACUGUAAAUAAUAACUACAAAAAAUAACCAAAAAUACUGAAGUAAUAAUACAAUAAUUAUCUUUGUUUCAGUUAAAAACAAGAGAACGUAAAACAAUUUAUAGCCUCGUGGCGAUGGAAAAACAAACCUUGAGAGGAGUGAAGACACGAUGAUUUCUUAAUCCUCCCGAUGGUUGAAAUUUGCGUUGGUGUCUGGACGUUCGGCUGGCUGGAUGUGACACAGCCGAAUUUUGAAAAACAUCAGCUAUGCCGACAUCUUGCCUUCGAGGCGCCCAGUUAAUAUUGUGGAUACAUUCUUCUCGUUGAAUACAAAGAUUUAAACAGAACACUCAGUCACAGAACACUAUAAUAUCUAAGGAAUUUGAUUGUGUGAUCUUGAUUUUAUCCCUCCUGGAUAGUCCAUGAAGAGGAUGAGCAGUAGAAAGUACAGUCGACGCGUUAUUCGAAAGAGACACCUGCACGAGGCUGGAGACUCGCCAAAUAACUGAUAGCGUGGGCGUCGCGACUUCGAAGACGACGUCGAACGACCAAAGUCGAGAGGGGGUGAAGCUUCCCCGUUCUUCUUGUUCCAUUGGUCAGGAACCGAUUGUGCGAUUCGUGUCUUCCUCCUCUCCGUCUUCUGUUCUUACCGAUCGUCCCUAUCGCUGGAGGCAAGCUGCGAAUUGUUGCGCCGGUAGAGUCGUCAUCAGUUGCUCUGAUUUGGAGAGGAAGAUUCAUGAUACCAUGAUGAUGAAAACCUACGAUGAGAUUUAAGAUUCACUUGUGACAGAUAAACUAUUAAUGCACUCAAAGAAAAAUAAGUGAACGACGACGCUUGUUUAUGAAUAUUGGAGAUUUGAGACGCUGGAGAUUGAUGGUAAAAAAUAUGAGAAAUUUCUAGAGAUACGCUACUAACCGAUCAUGUGAUCGACAAAAUCUCGAGAAACACCCUCGUGACUAGAUAAAGAAAGAAGCGAAAGGCAUAACGAAGAAGGAAUCUCGAAGGAAGUAGGCCGUGCAAAUGAGGAAGUCUGUCGACCUGCUCUGAAACUAAAAAAUCCAACAGUCGCUUGCUAAUUGAAGAACAAACAGGCACAGUUCAAUCGGAGGUUCUGCAGGAAAAAUCGUGACGAAAUUUAUUUUGACGACUCCAUUAUGUCGUUGAAUGUCUCCAUCUGUUACAUAAUUUGAGCGUUCAAUUGCAACAUUUUUGUCUCUAAAUGCGCAAGAAGUGACUAAUGGACUAAAGACCUUACAUUCUUAUGAAGAUUAUGGAGGAAGUGGUACCUAAAUAGAGAUCUGUUUUACGCUGUGAAUAUUAUAACGAGCAUCUUUAUGCAACAUUUUUGCACAUUCAAUUUCACAUAAACGAAUAGAAAUCCGCAGUCUAAUGUCCAGAGAGGUACGAUAAAAAAAGUAAAGAACUAAUCUCAAACUUUACCUACCCUUUUAUGAAUAAUUACACGAGUUCUACUUUCUUUACACUUUCAAAAUAAAUAAACCAAAAGCCAGGAUUUACUAAUCGAGCAACUAAAAUCGAUGAAAAGGAAAUAAGCAACUCGGACCUUACCUCCAUUUCUACAAAUAAUUCCAAAAGUUCCAUUCUUCCAAUAAAGGUUGCUCCCAGCUAUGCUCUUCGCGGAAAAAGGUCCCUUUAAAAUACCGAUUUCACCUUGCUCCUUGGUCAAUUGGAAGAUCCGUUAAACGUCUCACACUUUGGAUAGAUCUCGUUCGUAAUUCGCGAUACCCGCGAGAUCGGUUGGCACAUUCCGUGGAAUCAAUGGGAAAACGAGCAGAACCGACAAUUACCAUUAAAAUAACCACGAGCGCAACGCAACGAACGAAGGAAAAAAGCAUUGUUUCGACCAGCUACGAGCACCGACGAGACUUUUUAUCUGAACAAUAUAUCGCGCUCUUUUGCUUAUCGCAAAACCGUGACUGAUAACUCUUCUCUUUUUCCUUCGUUCUUUUCCUUUACCUUUUUUCUUUUUUUCUUUCUUUUGAACCGCAUUUUAUCGCCGAGUGUAACAGGUAGCUCGUAACACGUUGCGACGAAUCAACGAACCUCGUCGCGAUUAUCGAGCCGUUUUCACGGUUCGUGGCUCGCGAGUCGAACACCACGACCCGUUUGCAGAUCAGUGUCGCCUCGACCAGGAAAUCGGUCUCGUCUUACAGGAUGCCGGUGCGUCAAUAUUGACACGUUUCUUACGAAACCACCAGAGAAAGAGGAAAGAAGGAAGAUAAAACGAGAGAAGGGAAGAAUUGAGAAUUUGGAGAAGUUUUUGGGAGGUGGCAGGAUUUCAAGGUCGCUGGGUCUUUGCUAGAGUUCAGGGUCGUUUAUGUCGUUGAUUUUGAUUUAAUGUAGGGUAAGGUGAUGUCGUAUAUAGGGUGUUAAAAUUGCUUAGCCUUGGAUUAGUUAGUUUUUUAUGUUUGAUUUUUUGGAAAGUUAGGAAUUUGUAAAAGGGAAAUUUGGGAUGUUGGUUUGAACUUUAUCGUAGAUGGGAGUACAAGAGAAUUGUUGAAAUAGUUCUUUAAUUGAACGUAAAAGAUGAUUUAUACGUUAAGGAUAAAUAUUUUUGGGUACAGAUUAGAAUUUGCACGUAGGUGCGGUUUUCCUUAGUGGAGAAGCGCGCUAAAUUUCUUAGAAUAAAGAAGGAAAUUCAAUCGCAAGUUUGAAGAUUAAAAAAUACUAAAAAUUGAAAUGUUAAAAAUUUGUAAAUUUAAAAAUUGAUCCAUCUAAACAUGCAGAUAUUUGAAAAUUUAAAAGUUCAAUAAUUUUGAGUGGAAUUUGAAACAUUGAGGAACUUUGAAAUUAAAUGUGUGUCAAACGCGUGAUUCCAUUCAGAUAAUGGAAUUCACCUGGGUGGCAUACGUAAUCGUUGAUCACGGAAACAGGAAAUUGAUACGAUCGAUCAAUGGACAGUGGUAACGAUAGGUACUUAACUCCAUAAUAUUAUGACCUAACAGUUACGAGAAAUUUCCCGUUAUCGUUGUAAAUUUCCUUACUAAUUAUACAAUUAGACAAUUCGUGUUUUAUCUGAUAAAUUCAAUAAAUAUCACGAGUUUAUUUCGAUAUUAUUAUAAUUUAAUAAAUGUAUCAGUAACAUCUAGUUGUAACGGGGAGAAGGUAAAAAACAUGAGAAUCUAAUUGUCAACACUUUUAUUGUUUUCUUGUGUUAAACUUUAGUCGUUUAUCGAGAAACGCUAAAUAACAAUAGUAACGCGUAUAUAAGAUUAUAAGGUGAACAUUAAAAAGAAGUAGGAAUAUGUGAAUAUUUAAACGCAUAAAUCAGUGAAAAGGUAUAAACAAAAAAGCUGGGAACAACAGAGACUAGUAAGAAAUAAUAGAUAACAAACCAGUUGCGUUAUUUCAACGACAACCAGAUAAAACUAAUUAUCUAAAUAUUGCAAAUACUUCGAAUAAUAAAAAUCUCAGUAAACUGAAUAAAUUCUCGUAACAAAAUUAUAUAUACAUAUGUGCUUAAUAUUGUGCGAUACUGUUAAGUAGAAUCAUUGACAAUAAUUUGUGCAAUAAAAGUUACAUAAUUAUAUAAGAUUACUUAAAGUAACGAAAAUUAUACGCUAUAUAUACCUUUUUUAAAUAUUCAGUCAAUCAUAAGAAAUAUCACAAAGAAUAUAAAAAGAAAUAUGGGAAUAAAAUUUGGAACAUUCCAAUUGUCUGAGAAAAUUUUUAAUCAAUGUAUGUGUAUUAAAAUCGAAUUUAAGAUUGUCAAACGUUAGUUUGUAAAAAAUUAAAUCUUCUAAUGUUUUUAUAACAAGCUAAACGUACAUGCACUUUAAUGUUUCUCUUUUAAAUUGGUGUAAAAGUACUAUCAUUAUAUUGAAGUUUCUCGUAUUAACUUCUAUUAAUACUUUGACCUUACUUCCGUCUAUGCGCGGUUGGCUACUAAUAUUGGCAUAAUUUUCUUAGAAUUAAACUUGAACAUGUGUAAUUCAAUAAAUAUUUCUUAAUUAAAUAUACGUUUUAAUCUUUUGAACUGUUUACUGCUUGAUAUCCUACGUGAAUUGAAUUAAUUUAUAUGUCUUGUAGCAACUAUUGCAUACAUUUGUUAAUGAUACAAAAACAAAUUAUUAUACAUUAAUAAUAAAACAUAAUAACAAUUAAAAUAAAUUCAACUUCUUUUCAACACCAAAUGUAAAGGAACACGAACGAAAUGAUAAAAAGAAUUGUCUCUCCUCCAAAACUGCAACUUAACUACAACCCAUUAAUAAAUCACAUAGUUAAAUCCUAACAAAUAUACCUAAUUUUCCAUCGAGUAAGUUCGAUAUACUUCUCAUUACAAACAUUUAUAAUAACACAAAUGUCUCAACAAGACGUCAAAAAAAUUAAUAUAUAAAGACAUAUGUAAUAACUAUAAAAUUCGAUGGUGGGAAAGUCAAAAUGUUAUAGAUUAAAUGUACAUUAAAUAAAAUCUAAAAGUAUCUUAGUACGGUGUAUAUAUAAUAAAGCAGAUUAUUGCAUUUGUGCUUCUAAACUGUUCACACAGGAUCGUAAAAUGCAUGUGGUCAUGUGGUUUUGAUCAACAAUAUUUUUAACCCGAAGAUCGCAAUAAAAAGAUAAUCUUCAUAUGGCGAUAGCUUCGCGAUAUUUCUAUCUCUUUCGGUCCACUAUCUGUUUUUACAGAUUAAGGUUGUUAUUUUUCUAGCAUUUAAAAAUUAAAUAUAGCUGUGAUUCUAAGGCAAAUGGUUGAUAUGCUAUUAUAAUAUCCUACGAAUACUACAAUUAAGGAAAUCGAAAUGUUUCAAAUCCUCGUAUCAUUCUACCUUAUCUUAGAUCUACUUCGAAAAUUCCUUUUGACGAUCUGAUAAUGUACUAGUAAAAAAUUUAUAUAAAUAGAAUGAAAAAAGUUCUAUUCUUCAACAUUCUUUUUCGUUUGCUUUUUCUCCCUAAAUAUUGAUCGAUGUAUUUUCUUAUAUUGCAACUGCAAGAAAUUAGCAUGUAUAAUGUAGGAUUACUCUAUUCCUUAAGCUUAUAAUUUGCAUUGUUAGGUAUUAUAUAUCUUUUAAACGUAUCUAAAACUAUACAACGUAGUACACUGCCGUUUCCGCUAGGCUGUUUUUAGCUGUUU
Molecule: long non-coding RNA, 5337 nt
Organism: Bombus huntii
Lineage: Eukaryota; Metazoa; Arthropoda; Insecta; Hymenoptera; Apidae
Exons: 6
Source: RefSeq, a predicted model, not a curated record